Molecule: long non-coding RNA, 476 nt
Organism: Sphaerodactylus townsendi
Lineage: Eukaryota; Metazoa; Chordata; Lepidosauria; Squamata; Sphaerodactylidae
Exons: 2
Source: RefSeq, a predicted model, not a curated record
UCUGAGCUAUUGCGGAUGGCGAAAGGGUGGGGGAGGGGAGACGUGUGUGGAAAGGUGGAACGCGGCCCUGCGGAGCUGAGCAAGCGCACAAAGGCGCGUGUGUAAGAAAUACGGUUGAGGUGUAAGGCGCCGGAAAACAACAUGAGCGCGCGAGCGCCAGGAAGCGAGCUGGAAGGGGAAGGAAGAUUGGCGCACGCGCGCGCUCCCUUAGUGGGGUGCGGAAUGGAGCGCAUGCGCGGGCUGUAUUUAUUUGGUGGGAGUUCUCUUGGAGCCUUCAUCUUCUAAGGCCAGUUCACCAAGAGUUCUCCCGGAGACACUCUGGGCCACCUACAAGAGGAAAAAAAAUGGACUUGAGAUUGACAAGCUGUGAAAGGGGGAAACGUUAAUUGUUAAACUUGGAUAAGAUCAUGGUUUUGUUGUACUGCUAAGUUCUAUGUUUAUGUAUGUUAAGUAAAAAGAAGAAAAUUUGUCCUAAA